UACGAAGGGUGCAAGCGUUAUUCGGAAUCAUUGGGCGUAAAGCGCGCGCAGGCGGAUUAAUAAGUCAGGUGUGAAAUCUCGGGGCUCAACCUCGAAACUGCGCCUGAAACUAUUAGUCUAGAAUGUCGGAGGGGGCAGGGGAAUUUCACGUGUAGGGGUAAAAUCCGUAGAGAUGUGAAGGAACACCGGAGGCGAAGGCGCCUGCCUGGACGACUAUUGACGCUGAGGCGCGAAAGCGUGGGGAGCAAACAGG
Molecule: ribosomal RNA, 253 nt
Filed under: uncultured bacterium
Lineage: Bacteria
Description: partial 16S ribosomal RNA
Rfam family: Bacterial small subunit ribosomal RNA
Source: RNAcentral